ACGACCCUGGCGGGAGAGACCGGGACCGCGUGACAGCGGAACCGGCGCCGAAGGAGCAAACGCCCCGGAAACUCUCAGGCCAAAGGACCGUCAGGGUAAG
This 100-nucleotide non-coding RNA is filed under the name Inquilinus limosus. Its description in RNAcentral is "Glycine sequence". It matches the Rfam family "Glycine riboswitch aptamer". Rfam says of the family: This family represents the bacterial glycine riboswitch. Glycine riboswitches usually consist of two metabolite-binding aptamers domains with similar structures in tandem. The record is from RNAcentral. Lineage: Bacteria; Pseudomonadati; Pseudomonadota; Alphaproteobacteria; Rhodospirillales; Rhodospirillaceae.